ACUAAAGUCAGGUUAGGCCAAGGCACUACUUCAUGGUCACAAAGCAUGGCCCAUAGGCCAACUGAGGACCUGAUGACCUCCAGGGGAAAAAGGAACUUGUGUGCUUCUGGUACACUCAUUGUUCUAUAGGACAUUCUCUGUACAAGGGACACAGCUCCAUCUGGUAGACUGUGGUGAAGUGUUCCAGUCUGUUGGUUCUCCACAGCACUGGGGAGUUCAUGUCUUGAGUUCUUGAGUUCCUACCAGGAGACACCCAAAACCUCUUGCUUCCCUGCCCCUGAAGGCAGUAGUGCUGGGGCUUGCAUGCCUGCAGGGUGGUCCAGCAUCCUGGGCUAUCAGGCCUGACCUACCUGCUGCAGGCUGGAGUGGUUAGGCUGUUGUUAUGGCCCUGACCCAGGCUGACAGGCCCUUCCCUCAAAGGCCAGCCAGGUCCUUGUGCUUUAUUACCAGGCUAAUGAUGGUGAUUAGGCCAACAAGGGCUGCCUGCAGCCUGGCCCUCUUCAACCCAUCUUGCUGAGGAGGGCAGUGCUGAGCAAUUGGGGGAGACAACACCUGUAUGGCCCAACUAUGGCCCUAAUCUGGUUGCUGUCCACCUGCCCUAAAAAGAAAGGGCAGAGUCAGUAAGACUGCCAGCUGCAGGACAGGCAGUGUGACCUCAGUCUGCACCUGCCCCUCUGAGCAGGGAUAACAAGGUACAGAGUUGAGUGAAUACCAGCUGGAUUUGGUGUCACUCAAGAGGCUGAGACAGGAGGAUUAUCGUGAGCUCAAAGCCAACCUAGUCUACAUAGUGAGUUCCAGGCUAACCUCAGCUACCUUGCAGAAACCAUUUCUCAAAAACUCAAAUAAAUGAGCAGGUAGUUUCUUAUGUCCUGUGAAGCCUUCCUCAGUGCUGGGCUUCAGGUAACCAUAGUAGCAGAUUCUUCCUGUUGCCCUCUGGGAAUCCACUGAAUUAUGGGGGACUAUCCCUCCAGGCUUUGGGGGGGGGACUUUUGUGGUUUAUGGCUGGCUGGCUGUACUUCAUGUGUAAGGAAUGCCAGGGGGGGGGCAGUGUGGGGGCAGAGCCACUCUCCUGACACACCUCACCCCCCCUGGAUGCCUGGCAUGUCCUGUCAGGAUCCAUGUCCCCUGGAGACAGCCAUGUUCUUCCCAGAUGCUCUCUUCUGGGAUACCCAGCUCUGUAAGGAUGCUGAAUCCCAGCUGGGAGACAAGAAUGAAGUAUUUUCUGUCUUCAUAGAUAGGUACUCCUUUUCAUUUGAACACAAAGCUGAGAUAUAUUCCCUUUCCCCCUCUGCUGCAGAACAGAGCUGGGUCAGACUCUAGGAAACUCUUCAGAUGAAUCCCAGGUUUACACGGCACUAUCCACACUGAGAGAAUCAGGACUUCAGCCAAGGAGAGCUUCCUGCGGGCUGCCAUUUUGAAUGAGGGUCCAUCUUUCUGAGCACCUGGCAUGGGUCAGCCUGUCUCCUCUGAUCUGGCACUGUGUUCCUGUCUCCUCCACACCAAACAAAGUGCCUGGCCCAGACUGUCGAUACACCAAGCACAGACCCAGGAAUCUCCUAUAUCAACUCUUGGCUCAGCUCUGCUAGGACCUGGAGGUCCGGGGCUACAGUAUCUGGAAUUUCAGCUCUUUUUUUGGAUGGAAAGUCAAGAGAAAGAUGCUUCGGUCCCUGGAAGACUGUUAUCUGGCGUCCUCUGGAGGCUUCCUCUGGAACUGCAUCAAACUGACGCUAGCUUUGGUGCUUAGGCUCAUUGCACUGACUUCAGGAGUACGUGGGUAGCGUGGGGGUGAGGCUCAUUGCUGAGAGGACUACUCUCCUUUGAGCUUCAAGAACCCAUCUCAGGAAAGGUGCUUAAGCCUAGGGUGGGACUAUCCCAGGAUCUCCCUCAGACAGGCUCUCACCUCACUGCCUUUGGCCAGGGCAAAGCCCCCACCCAGCAAGAUCAGGAUAUUCCAGGGCAUCUUAUCGUUCACUGUCUUCCAGGUGAGGAUGGCAGGAGGAGCCUUCAGCUUCCCUGGUUUUUCUACUCCCCAAGCAGACAAGGAUGAUCACCAAAAGUCAAUAGGCCUCCCCUCCCCUCCUUCCUAAGUGGGUUCCUAUCAGAGCUUAAGGCAGGUAGAAGGGAGCCCUCAGUCUCCCAUCUCUGUAGGAUUCCAAGUCUGUCCUUGAGUCCCUGUGUCUUUGGCAGGUCACCCAAAGGAGCUUUGCUGGCUCCUGCCAAAUGUGGUCAAAGGCUAUAUACCUGCAGACAGGGGCUGCCGGAGACCCUUCCCAGCCCCAGGCCAGAUCUUCAGGCCUCCCCCUCUCCUGCUUUGGAAGGUCUCACCUUUGCCCUUUUUCAUUGGCGAAAGCUGUGUCACCCCAGCCUGG
This is a long non-coding RNA of Mus caroli (Ryukyu mouse), 2369 nucleotides long. RefSeq lists it as uncharacterized. NCBI's taxonomy places the organism in Eukaryota, Metazoa, Chordata, Mammalia, Rodentia, Muridae. The record is from RefSeq and is a predicted model, not a curated record.